RNAcentral lists this long non-coding RNA (227 nucleotides) under Lathyrus oleraceus (garden pea). Its description in RNAcentral is "Pisum sativum (pea) long non-coding RNA (PSAT_LNC040953)". The record is from RNAcentral. Lineage: Eukaryota; Viridiplantae; Streptophyta; Magnoliopsida; Fabales; Fabaceae.
AGAAAGAUGGAACUCUUUCCCCAUUAUUGACUCGAUAGAUCUUGGGUUUUUAUCUCAAUGCUUCAACCAUGUAAUGGGAGCAAAGAGAGGACACACUGAAUAGUGGGGGAUAGAUUGCUUAUCCCUACCUUCCACCAAUUGCCUCAAAUGAGGACUUUUCCUGCUUGGGACAAUUUUAAACAAACACAGGCAUUGCCUCUUAAGGAGGACUUCAGACAGUUUGCCCG